This 465-nucleotide long non-coding RNA is filed under the name Salvia miltiorrhiza (redroot sage). RNAcentral's name for it is "long non-coding RNA (SMIL_LNC014354)". The record is from RNAcentral. Lineage: Eukaryota; Viridiplantae; Streptophyta; Magnoliopsida; Lamiales; Lamiaceae.
UUGCUUGCCUAUACACAAUUGCACAUAUGCACUUGCAACAUAUAAAAAAAUAAGCGAACAAUAUGGGUUAAUAUCUCUAAUUAACCAUUUUGCUAAACAAAAUGUUAAUACUAACCAUAAAAAUAAAAUAGAAAUAUUAAAUAUAAUCAUUUUUUGUGUAAGUAUACGAGUUUACCUUUAAUGAAAAUCUAAUAAAUAAUAAAUAAGAAAAAAAUAAAAUAAUAAAAUAUAAUUAAAAAUCUGAAAGAAAAAAAACUUAAAAAAUCAAACUACCUAAAACCCCUUUCCCCAUAUCCCAUUUCCCCCCAAUUCCCUUCUUUGUGGAGCUAAACGUUGCAGCUCCGAUGGCGACGCCACCAUUUCUCCUCUUCUAGUUCCUUUCUCUCCUCGAGCAGGUAGCUCCCUGCUCUCGAACUAAAUUUCUUCAUCUCACCAAUUCCCCUCUCUAUAAUUACACCAUUUUCA